Molecule: ribosomal RNA, 464 nt
Filed under: uncultured bacterium
Lineage: Bacteria
Description: partial 16S ribosomal RNA
Rfam family: Bacterial small subunit ribosomal RNA
Source: RNAcentral
GACGAACGCUGGCGGCGUGCUCAACACAUGCAAGUCGAACGGUAAGGCCCCAGCUUGCUGGGGUACACGAGUGGCGAACGGGUGAGUAACACGUGGGUGACCUGCCCCGCACUUCGGGAUAAGCCUGGGAAACUGGGUCUAAUACCGGAUAGGACCGCACCGUGAGGGUGUGGUGGAAAGUUUUUCGGUGUGGGAUGGGCCCGCGGCCUAUCAGCUUGUUGGUGGGGUAAUGGCCUACCAAGGCGGCGACGGGUAGCCGGCCUGAGAGGGUGGACGGCCACAUUGGGACUGAGACACGGCCCAGACUCCUACGGGAGGCAGCAGUGGGGAAUAUUGCACAAUGGGCGGAAGCCUGAUGCAGCGACGCCGCGUGGGGGAUGACGGCCUUCGGGUUGUAAACUCCUUUCACCAUCGACGAAGGUUUUCUGACGGUAGAUGGAGAAGAAGCACCGGCUAACUACGUG